This is a non-coding RNA of Triticum aestivum (bread wheat), 135 nucleotides long. Lineage: Eukaryota; Viridiplantae; Streptophyta; Magnoliopsida; Poales; Poaceae. The record is from Rfam.
AUAGUACUCCCUCCGUCCCAAAAUUCUUGCCUUAGAUUUGCAUACAUAUGGAUGUAUCUAGUCACAUCUUAGUAUUAGAUACAUUCAUAUCUAGAUAAAUUUAAGACAAGAAUUUUGGAACAGAGGGAGUAGUAU